CGGUUCGAUCCGGGUUCUCUCCAUAGUUUGCACGUCUCAGUGUCCUUGAGACCCUGAAGCUUCACAGCAGCUCACUGCUCCUUAAUCACUAAGUGGUGUUGACGAACCGACCGAAGAGCCGGUUAAAUGACCCGAUUCGUGUACCUGAAGCGGGAGAAUCGGGUGCCAAACGUCCAUGAACCGACUCACUCCGGCUUUCAACCACUCAUUCGUGCCCGCGCUUCAGUGAGCUCGAGCGCGCGAUCGCUGGUCUUCUUCUGCGAGUCGCGGGCUGAUCCAGCUCACCAGCGCCUCCACUGGAGCGGUGGAACAAUCAACCAGGAAGUGGGCCGCCUUGAUCGCGCACGACCGAACCGUAAGAGACUCCUGUACAGUUGGUGGCGGUGUACUGCAGAGAUAGUCGUCUACCAAGAAACAGAAGAAGAAGAAAAGAACCCGCGACAACCGAGUUGAACCGAGUUGUUGAAGCGCGGUUGCGGUGUGACCGUGAGACUCAAUCACUGAAUGCUGUACUACUAACGUGGAGAGACGAUCCCAUGAGCCAUUGUGGAGACGCCUGCUGCUCAGAUAGCAGGAGGCCAGCAGGCGGAGGCCUCGCCCCCCCCUGAGUGGAGAGUCUCCACCUCCUCUUCCAGCCAAGCCGAGGCCUGCUAUGAAAACGUGGAGGCGCCCCGGCCCCCCGCCAGACCAGCAGCGCCAUCGACCACCCAAGAGGGAGGAGACAAGGUCACCUGAUGGUGAUGGUGAUGGCGGCGUGCGUACGGAACGACGCGAGGCGGAGCGAGAGGCACCGGGCUCCCAGAGAGCCUCCCCGUACCUCACCGAGCAGCUGAGUCUGAAAUGUCCUCAGAGGACACCUACGAGUCCUCCUUUAGUCCAGGACUGCAUUUGGUCUACAUUAUUUGAUUUAGCAGUUUAUGGAACUUAAUUAAAUGUCUACUUGUUAGAAAUAAAACCUGUUAUCUUACCACAGAGUAUCACACGUCUGUAGAAGCGGAUGAGCCCUGGUGUGAACGUGGUCAUGUGACACCACACAACCAACAGCAACAUGUCUUUUUUUAUGUGUGAAGGGGAACAGGAAAGGUUAUUCUGAGAAGCCUUGUGCUUCUUCUUCUCACGCUCUGACUGCAGAGUUUUCUCUAAAGCACAAAGUAUCAAAAGUUUAUUUCAUUUAAUCCUUUUGUUUUCUUUUAUUUCACCUUUUUCUUUUUUAAAUCAGCGUCACUAGAACCGAUUCUUUUGUUAAAACAUUCAGCUGUGAGGUGUUUGUUGGAGUUUGAGUCUAAAAUCCAAAAGGCCGCAUUAAAGUCACUGUUGAUAAAAUAUGUCAAUGUCACGACUACCAGAACAAACAUGAUUAAAUUAGUUAAUGUAUGAAUUGUUGAUCACGGGUCAUUCAUCCAGGUUCAUAAGAAGGCGGUUUAUGUGUUUAUCAUCUUUCACUG
Gasterosteus aculeatus aculeatus (three-spined stickleback) is the source of this 1445-nucleotide long non-coding RNA. Lineage: Eukaryota; Metazoa; Chordata; Actinopteri; Perciformes; Gasterosteidae. The record is from Ensembl.